RNAcentral lists this ribosomal RNA (497 nucleotides) under uncultured bacterium. RNAcentral describes it as "partial 16S ribosomal RNA". It matches the Rfam family "Bacterial small subunit ribosomal RNA", at positions 28 to 507 of the family's 1533-position model. The record is from RNAcentral.
GAUGAACGCUGGCGGCGUGCCUAAUACAUGCAAGUCGAGCGAACAGACGAGGAGCUUGCUCCUCUGACGUUAGCGGCGGACGGGUGAGUAACAAGUGGAUAACCUACCUAUAAGACUGGGAUAACUUCGGGAAACCGGAGCUAAUAACGGAUAAUAUAUUGAACCGCAUGGUUCAAUAGUGAAAGACGGUUUUGCUGUCACUUUUAGAUGGAUCCGCGCCGCAUUAGCUAGUUGGUAAGGUAACGGCUUACCAAGGCAACGAUGCGUAGCCGAACUGAGAGGAUGAUCAGCCACACUGGAACUGAGACACGGUCCAGACUCCUACGGGAGGCAGCAGUAGGGAAUCUUCCGCAAUGGGCGAAAGCCUGACGGAGCAACGCCGCGUGAGUGAUGAAGGUCUUCGGAUCGUAAAACUCUGUUAUUAGGGAAGAACAAAUGUGUAAGUAACUAUGCACGUCUUGACGGUACCUAAUCAGAAAGCCACGGCUAACUACGUG